This 427-nucleotide ribosomal RNA is filed under the name uncultured bacterium. RNAcentral describes it as "bacterial SSU rRNA". It matches the Rfam family "Bacterial small subunit ribosomal RNA", at positions 355 to 774 of the family's 1533-position model. The record is from RNAcentral.
UGGGGAAUUUUGGACAAUGGGCGCAAGCCUGAUCCAGCCAUGCCGCGUGCAGGAUGAAGGCCUUCGGGUUGUAAACUGCUUUUGUACAGAACGAAAAGACUCUGGUUAAUACCUGGGGUCCAUGACGGUACCGUAAGAAUAAGCACCGGCUAACUACGUGCCAGCAGCCGCGGUAAUACGUAGGGUGCGAGCGUUAAUCGGAAUUACUGGGCGUAAAGCGUGCGCAGGCGGUUAUGUAAGACGGAUGUGAAAUCCCCGGGCUCGACCUGGGAACUGCAUUUGUGACUGCAUAGCUAGAGUACGGCAGAGGGGGAUGGAAUUCCGCGUGUAGCAGUGAAAUGCGUAGAUAUGCGGAGGAACACCGAUGGCGAAGGCAAUCCCCUGGGCCUGUACUGACGCUCAUGCACGAAAGCGUGGGGAGCAAACA